Molecule: ribosomal RNA, 522 nt
Filed under: Salmonella enterica
Lineage: Bacteria; Pseudomonadati; Pseudomonadota; Gammaproteobacteria; Enterobacterales; Enterobacteriaceae
Description: bacterial SSU rRNA
Rfam family: Bacterial small subunit ribosomal RNA
Source: RNAcentral
AAAUUGAAGAGUUUGAUCAUGGCUCAGAUUGAACGCUGGCGGCAGGCCUAACACAUGCAAGUCGAACGGUAACAGGAAGCAGCUUGCUGCUUUGCUGACGAGUGGCGGACGGGUGAGUAAUGUCUGGGAAACUGCCUGAUGGAGGGGGAUAACUACUGGAAACGGUGGCUAAUACCGCAUAACGUCGCAAGACCAAAGAGGGGGACCUUCGGGCCUCUUGCCAUCAGAUGUGCCCAGAUGGGAUUAGCUAGUUGGUGAGGUAACGGCUCACCAAGGCGACGAUCCCUAGCUGGUCUGAGAGGAUGGCCAGCCACACUGGAACUGAGACACGGUCCAGACUCCUACGGGAGGCAGCAGUGGGGAAUAUUGCACAAUGGGCGCAAGCCUGAUGCAGCCAUGCCGCGUGUAUGAAGAAGGCCUUCGGGUUGUAAAGUACUUUCAGCGGGGAGGAAGGUGUUGUGGUUAAUAACCUCAGCAAUUGACGUUACCCGCAGAAGAAGCACCGGCUAACUCCGUGCCAGC